RNAcentral lists this ribosomal RNA (457 nucleotides) under uncultured bacterium. RNAcentral describes it as "bacterial SSU rRNA". It matches the Rfam family "Bacterial small subunit ribosomal RNA", at positions 9 to 507 of the family's 1533-position model. The record is from RNAcentral.
GAGUUUGAUCAUGGCUCAGAACGAACGCUGGCGGCAGGCUUAACACAUGCAAGUCGAACGCUCGUAGCAAUACGGGAGUGGCGGACGGGUGAGUAACGCGUGGGAACGUGCCCUGAGGUACGGAAUAACUGAGGGAAACUUCAGCUAAUACCGUAUGAGCCCCGAGAGGGGGAAAGAUUUAUCGCCUUGGGAGCGGCCCGCGUCGGAUUAGCUAGUUGGUGGGGUAACGGCCUACCAAGGCUUCGAUCCGUAGCCGGUCUGAGAGGACGAUCAGCCACACUGGGACUGAGACACGGCCCAGACUCCUACGGGAGGCAGCAGUGGGGAAUCUUGCGCAAGUGGGGGCAACCCUGACGCAGCCAUGCCGCGUGAACGAUGAAGGCCUUAGGGUUGUAAAGUUCUUUUACCCGUGACGAUGAUGACGGUAACGGGGGAAUAAGCUCCGGCUAACUUCGUG